RNAcentral lists this ribosomal RNA (497 nucleotides) under uncultured bacterium. RNAcentral describes it as "partial 16S ribosomal RNA". It matches the Rfam family "Bacterial small subunit ribosomal RNA", at positions 28 to 507 of the family's 1533-position model. The record is from RNAcentral.
GAUGAACGCUGGCGGCGUGCCUAAUACAUGCAAGUCGAGCGAACGGACGAGAAGCUUGCUUCUCUGAUGUUAGCGGCGGACGGGUGAGUAACACGUGGAUAACCUACCUAUAAGACUGGGAUAACUUCGGGAAACCGGAGCUAAUACCGGAUGAUAUUUUGAACCGCAUGGUUCAAAAGUGAAAGACGGUCUUGCUGUCACUUAUAGAUGGAUCCGCGCUGCAUUAGCUAGUUGGUAAGGUAACGGCUUACCAAGGCAACGAUGCAUAGCCGACCUGAGAGGGUGAUCGGCCACACUGGAACUGAGACACGGUCCAGACUCCUACGGGAGGCAGCAGUAGGGAAUCUUCCGCAAUGGGCGAAAGCCUGACGGAGCAACGCCGCGGGAGUGAUGAAGGUCUUCGGAUCGUAAAACUCUGUUAUUAGGGAAGAACAUAUGUGUAAGUAACUGUGCACAUCUUGACGGUACCUAAUCAGAAAGCCACGGCUAACUACGUG